UAGUAACGGCGAGUGAAGCGGCAAAAGCUCAAAUUUGAAAUCUGGCACCUUCGGUGUCCGAGUUGUAAUUUGAAGAAGGUAACUUUGGAGUUGGCUCUUGUCUAUGUUCCUUGGAACAGGACGUCACAGAGGGUGAGAAUCCCGUGCGAUGAGAUGCCCAAUUCUAUGUAAAGUGCUUUCGAAGAGUCGAGUUGUUUGGGAAUGCAGCUCUAAGUGGGUGGUAAAUUCCAUCUAAAGCUAAAUAUUGGCGAGAGACCGAUAGCGAACAAGUACAGUGAUGGAAAGAUGAAAAGAACUUUGAAAAGAGAGUGAAAAAGUACGUGAAAUUGUUGAAAGGGAAGGGCUUGAGAUCAGACUUGGUAUUUUGCGAUCCUUUCCUUCUUGGUUGGGUUCCUCGCAGCUUACUGGGCCAGCAUCGGUUUGGAUGGUAGGAUAAUGACUAAGGAAUGUGGCUCUACUUCGGUGGAGUGUUAUAGCCUUGGUUGAUACUGCCUGUCUAGACCGAGGACUGCGUCUUUUGACUAGGAUGUUGGCAUAAUGAUCUUAAGCCA
This 551-nucleotide ribosomal RNA is filed under the name Debaryomyces hansenii. Its description in RNAcentral is "partial large subunit ribosomal RNA". It matches the Rfam family "Eukaryotic large subunit ribosomal RNA", at positions 81 to 647 of the family's 3401-position model. Lineage: Eukaryota; Fungi; Ascomycota; Pichiomycetes; Serinales; Debaryomycetaceae. The record is from RNAcentral.